Molecule: ribosomal RNA, 492 nt
Filed under: uncultured bacterium
Lineage: Bacteria
Description: partial 16S ribosomal RNA
Rfam family: Bacterial small subunit ribosomal RNA
Source: RNAcentral
GAUGAACGCUAGCUACAGGCUUAACACAUGCAAGUCGAGGGGCAGCGGUAUCGAAAGCUUGCUUUCGGUAGCCGGCGACCGGCGCACGGGUGAGUAACGCGUAUCGAACCUGCCUCAUACUCGGGAAUAGCCUUGCGAAAGUAAGAUUAAUGCCCGGUGUUUUCAGAGUCCCGCAUGAGGCUUUGAACAAAGAUUUAUCGGUAUGAGAUGGCGAUGCGUCCCAUUAGCUUGUUGGCGGGGUAACGGCCCACCAAGGCAUCGAUGGGUAGGGGUUCUGAGAGGAAGGUCCCCCACAUUGGAACUGAGACACGGUCCAAACUCCUACGGGAGGCAGCAGUGAGGAAGAUUGGUCAAUGGGCGGAAGCCUGAACCAGCCAAGUAGCGUGCAGGAAGACGGCCCUCCGGGUUGUAAACUGCUUUUAGUUGGGAAUAAAACGGGGCUCGUGAGCCCCCUUGCAUGUACCAUCAGAAAAAGAACCGGCUAAUUCCGUG